Molecule: microRNA precursor, 89 nt
Filed under: Chlorocebus sabaeus (green monkey)
Lineage: Eukaryota; Metazoa; Chordata; Mammalia; Primates; Cercopithecidae
Description: miRNA (ENSCSAG00000024187.1)
Source: RNAcentral
AGUAUUAGGUUGGUGCAAAGGUAAUUGUGGUUUUUGCCAUUGAAAAUGAUGACAAAGAACUACAGUUACUUUUGCAUCAACUUAAUAGA